GAUGAACGCUGGCGGCGUGCCUAAUACAUGCAAGUCGAGCGAACAGACGAGGAGCUUGCUCCUCUGACGUUAGCGGCGGACGGGUGAGUAACACGUGGAUAACCUACCUAUAAGACUGGGAUAACUUCGGGAAACCGGAGCUACUACCGGAUAAUAUAUUGAACCGCAUGGUUCAAUAGUGAAAGACGGUUUUGCUGUCACUUAUAGAUGGAUCCGCGCCGCAUUAGCUAGUUGGUAAGGUAACGGCUUACCAAGGCAACGAUGCGUAGCCGACCUGAGAGGGUGAUCGGCCACACUGGAACUGAGACACGGUCCAGACUCCUACGGGAGGCAGCAGUAGGGAAUCUUCCGCAAUGGGCGAAAGCCCGACGGAGCAACGCCGCGUGAGUGAUGAAGGUCUUCGGAUCGUAAAACUCUGUUAUUAGGGAAGAACAAAUGUGUAAGUAACUAUGCACGUCUUGACGGUACCUAAUCAGAAAGCCACGGCUAACUACGUG
RNAcentral lists this ribosomal RNA (497 nucleotides) under uncultured bacterium. RNAcentral's name for it is "partial 16S ribosomal RNA". It matches the Rfam family "Bacterial small subunit ribosomal RNA", at positions 28 to 507 of the family's 1533-position model. The record is from RNAcentral.